CGUCCAUGCACCAUAUCCCCACAUUCCUUUCCAGCUUCAGUUCGCUUUCAUUUAAACCACUUGUCCGCUCUACAAAAUGAAGAACAUUGUAGGAAGGACAAGAUCUCAAGAUAAUCGGCAAUAACAACAAAUAUAAUAAUACACAACAACCAUCUCACUGUUGUUGAUAAUCGAUUUUGCAACUCGUUUUUGGUUUUUAGUAAAAAGGGUUUGAGAAAAAAUGGGUUUUUUCUUCUCUUUGCUUGGUUUUUAUGGGGUUCGGG
RNAcentral lists this unclassified non-coding RNA (263 nucleotides) under Hevea brasiliensis (rubber tree). The record is from RNAcentral. Lineage: Eukaryota; Viridiplantae; Streptophyta; Magnoliopsida; Malpighiales; Euphorbiaceae.